Molecule: ribosomal RNA, 592 nt
Filed under: uncultured bacterium
Lineage: Bacteria
Description: bacterial SSU rRNA
Rfam family: Bacterial small subunit ribosomal RNA
Source: RNAcentral
CCUACGGGAGGCAGCAGUGGGGAAUCUUGCGCAAUGGGCGAAAGCCUGACGCAGCCAUGCCGCGUGAAUGAUGAAGGUCUUAGGAUUGUAAAAUUCUUUCAGUAGGGACGAUAAUGACGGUACCUACAGAAGAAGCCCCGGCUAACUUCGUGCCAGCAGCCGCGGUAAUACGAAGGGGGCUAGCGUUGCUCGGAAUUACUGGGCGUAAAGGGAGCGUAGGCGGACAUUUAAGUCAGGGGUGAAAUCCCAGAGCUCAACUCUGGAACUGCCUUUGAUACUGGGUGUCUUGAGUGUGAGAGAGGUAUGUGGAACUCCGAGUGUAGAGGUGAAAUUCGUAGAUAUUCGGAAGAACACCAGUGGCGAAGGCGACAUACUGGCUCAUUACUGACGCUGAGGCUCGAAAGCGUGGGGAGCAAACAGGAUUAGAUACCCUGGUAGUCCACGCCGUAAACGAUGAUUGCUAGUUGUCGGGAUGUUUACAUCUCGGUGACGCAGCUAACGCAUUAAGCAAUCCGCCUGGGGAGUACGGUCGCAAGAUUAAAACUCAAAGGAAUUGACGGCUGAGACGNGCGAGACGACGACGAGGGAGAGG